Molecule: ribosomal RNA, 405 nt
Filed under: uncultured Actinomycetes bacterium
Lineage: Bacteria; Bacillati; Actinomycetota; Actinomycetes
Description: uncultured actinobacterium partial 16S ribosomal RNA
Rfam family: Bacterial small subunit ribosomal RNA
Source: RNAcentral
UACCUGGUGCGCUUUACGUGCGUAAACGAACAAGGGAGCCCGUACGGAUAUUACAGCCUGGUUUUUUUUACAGGCAGGGGCCUAAACAUUCGAGCGAACUGGGCUGGAGUCUGGNAUAACUGCUGGAAACUGUAGCUAAUACCGGAUACGACACCUUGGGGCAUCCCGAGGUGUGGAAAGAAUUUCGGUCAAGGAUGAGCUCGCGGCCUAUCAGCUUGUUGGUGAGGUAAAAGCUGGGGGGGGCGACGACGGGUAGCCGGCCUGAGAGGGUGACCGGCCACACUGGAACUGAGAUACGGUCCAGACUCCUACGGGAGGCAGCAGUGGGGAAUAUUGCACAAUGGGCGCAAGCCUGAUGCAGCAACGCCGCGUGAGGGAUGAAGGCCUUCGGGUUGUAAACCUCUU